GAUGAAGAACGUAGCGAAAUGCGAUACGUAAUGUGAAUUGCAAAUUCAGUGAAUCAUCGAGUCUUUGAACGCACAUUGCGCCUCCUGGUAUUCCGGGGGGCAUGCCUGUCCGAGCGUCAUUGCUGCCCUCAAGCACGGCUUGUGUGUUGGGCCCCGUCCUCCGAUCCCGGGGGACGGGCCCGAAAGGCAGCGGCGGCACCGCGUCCGGUCCUCGAGCGUAUGGGGCUUUGUCACCCGCUCUGUAGGCCCGGCCGGCGCUUGCCGAUCAACCCAAAUUUUUAUCCAGGUUGACCUCGGAUCAGGUAGGGAUACCCGCUGAACUUAAGCAUAUCAAUAAGCGGAGGA
This 345-nucleotide unclassified non-coding RNA is filed under the name soil metagenome. RNAcentral's name for it is "partial contains 5.8S ribosomal RNA, internal transcribed spacer 2, and large subunit ribosomal RNA". The stretch from base 1 to 119 matches the Rfam family "5.8S ribosomal RNA", at positions 35 to 154 of the family's 154-position model. The record is from RNAcentral.